This is a non-coding RNA of Dermacentor andersoni, 552 nucleotides long. The record is from RefSeq and is a predicted model, not a curated record. NCBI's taxonomy places the organism in Eukaryota, Metazoa, Arthropoda, Arachnida, Ixodida, Ixodidae.
GUUUUUUGCGGCAAUGAACAGUGGAGGUGGAGGCUCUGACAGCGAUGGUAAUGCAAGCACUAAAUGAAGGACACGCCCAUGGACACGGAAAUAUGGCACAUCCCUCUCAGCCUGCCGUUGCCACGCACAGUGUGGAUUUGGAAAAGUCAAAAUUAUCUGAAACGUUUUCGCUACAAUAGGUAAGCGCCCGGAUUACCAGCCAGCCAGAAGCUCGCAUUCAGUCCUACAACUUCCAGUACGGCUCGAUCAAGCAGACUCCACGGCGGCUCGAGAAAUUGCAGCCCUUGCAGACCGUCCACAGGGCGACGAUCAGACACUGCAAGACCAAUCUUCACAUGAGCCCCCAGCAUCGGGGCGCCUUGAAGAUCGCCAGGUGAUAUCGGGCCCCGAGAGCUCGGAGCAGGUUCCAGUGCAGUCUACUCCUGAAACCUUAAGGCGUCGUACACGAACACGCAAGGAACCAGAUAGAUGGGGAUACAAUUAAAAAGAUAAUUAAAGCUGGCAGAAGUGUUGUGACCGAAUGACGUCAACGAAACACCCCCUGUUCGUACC